Molecule: ribosomal RNA, 406 nt
Filed under: uncultured bacterium
Lineage: Bacteria
Description: partial 16S ribosomal RNA
Rfam family: Bacterial small subunit ribosomal RNA
Source: RNAcentral
GACGAACGCUGGCGGCGUGCCUAAUACAUGCAAGUCGAGCGAGCGGCGGAUGUGUGGGUAAUGUCUGGGAACCUGCCCGAUGACGGGGGAUAACUACUGGAAACGGUAGAUAAUACCGCAUACCCUCGGAUGUGCCCAGAUGGGAUUAGCUAGUCGGUGGGGUAACGGCUGACCUAGGCGACGAUCCCUAGCUGGUCGUAGAGGAUGACCAGCAACACUGGAACUGAGACACGGUCCAGACUACUACGGGAGGCAGCAGUGGGGAAUAUGGCACAAUGGGCGCAAGCCUGAUGCAGCCAUGCCGGGUGUAUGAAGAAGGCCUUCGGGUUGUAAAGUACUUUCAGCGAGGAGGCGUUACUCGCAGAAGAAGCACCGGCUAACUCCGUGCCAGCAGACGCGGUAAUAC